RNAcentral lists this non-coding RNA (28 nucleotides) under Mus musculus (house mouse). The record is from RNAcentral. Lineage: Eukaryota; Metazoa; Chordata; Mammalia; Rodentia; Muridae.
UGGGAAGUGACUGGUGAGUUAGUUCCCG